Molecule: RNA transcript, 1436 nt
Organism: Lates calcarifer (barramundi perch)
Lineage: Eukaryota; Metazoa; Chordata; Actinopteri; Centropomidae
Gene name: galactose-specific lectin nattectin
Exons: 12
Source: RefSeq, a predicted model, not a curated record
AUGUUUUUUUAAAAUAGAUUUACUCAAGGCAGUGGUAAUGUGUAAAUCAAUAUUUAUUACACGAACUACGAUGUCUCGUGGUUUAGAGGAUUCCAAACAAGCUAAAGAAACAAAGCUCCCAGAAAAGGUAUAAAAAGACUGAGUUCCCUUUUCCAAGACAUCCUGCUACCUGCUACUGCAACUGCAACCUCAUCUGAUCAUCACAACAAGAUGGCAUCAGGUCUUCAUUUCAUUGUGCUCCUCUGUUUGACCAGUGGACUGUGGAUUGGAGCAGAUGCAGAAUGUGGACAUCAAACAGAUGACUGCAAUGACGCGUGUCCUUCUGGCUGGACUGAAUUUUGCAGUCGCUGUUACCAGUUCCAGGCUGCUGAAAAGGACUGGGCUGAUGCUGAGAAAACCUGCACUUUGCUUGGUGGAAAUCUGGCCUCAAUCCCAAAUGAAAAGGUGUACAGGUUCCUCAGAGAGCUGGUCUUUGAAGCAGCAAAGUCACAUCAGGAAACUUGGGUUGGAGGCUACGGUGCAGUGAAGGAGGGUGUGUGGCUGUGGAGUGAUGGGAACAUUUUUGACUUCAACCUGUGGCACCAAGGGGAACCCAACAACGUAGGUGGAGAGGAUUGCAUGGAAAUAAACUUCAGAGGAGGAGACUACAUCAACGAUCACAGGUCUUUACCUGUCGAGCUGCUGCAGCCUGGAGGAAACACCAGCUCUCACCUCACACACCAAACAGGUGUCACCACGUCAUCCAUGAUUACACAGUCUUCACACAACAAAGAUGUCCACCAGUGUCACCACUGCAUCUGUGAGUGCAGAGACCAGAGCUGAAGAUCCAGGACAGAUUCAUCACUGCAGGUGGAGUCACGGAAACCACAGGAUCCACCAGAGGUGAAGGAGGAGGGGGACAUGUCAGCAGCUGAAGUUCUGGACCUGGAGAGGACAGAAGAAAAGAAGAGUUAAAAAGCUGUUCAUGAAACAGCUGCACUUCAUAUUGAGCCAGACUGCUAGAGGACCUCCAAGUGGAGGGCUGUGUUAAAGCUCCACACCCUCCUCACAGUGACAUAGACUGUAGUUAUGAGCAGACUAACAUGUCUGUCAUUAUGACCACUAGGAGGCGCUUUGUUUAAUUCUCCCACCAAACACAAAGACUAACAUGUCGGUCAUUAAGCUUAAUGACCGACAUGUUAGUCUUUGGUGGGAGAAUUAAACAAAGCGCCUCCUAGUGGUCAAACACCUGCCAUUAUCUUUGUUACAUGUUGUCUGGAACAAAAUCAUUAAAGUUUUAAUUGAAUUUCAAACCUAUGUUUUACAAAUAUUUUUAUUACAGUUACAGACAUGUAAAGGUUUUAAUUUUUACUAUCUGCAGCUACAUUGUGGAGAAAUACUAAUUAAUAGUAAUUAAAAUGAAUAUUGCAGCUUUAGCUUAGUGAUGUUUGUUCCAG